UACGUAGGGGGCGAGCGUUAUCCGGAUUCACUGGGCGUAAAGGGAGCGCAGGCGGCACGGCAAGUCCGGUGUGAAAGCCCGGGGCCCAACCCCGGGACUGCACUGGAAACUGCCGGGCUGGAGUGUCGGAGGGGCAGGCGGAGUUCCUAGUGUAGCGGUGAAAUGCGUAGAUAUUAGGAGGAACACCGGUGGCGAAGGCGGCCUGCUGGACGACGACUGACGCUGAGGCUCGAAAGCGUGGGGAGCAAACAGG
This 253-nucleotide ribosomal RNA is filed under the name uncultured bacterium. RNAcentral's name for it is "partial 16S ribosomal RNA". It matches the Rfam family "Bacterial small subunit ribosomal RNA", at positions 524 to 776 of the family's 1533-position model. The record is from RNAcentral.